Molecule: ribosomal RNA, 497 nt
Filed under: uncultured bacterium
Lineage: Bacteria
Description: partial 16S ribosomal RNA
Rfam family: Bacterial small subunit ribosomal RNA
Source: RNAcentral
GAUGAACGCUGGCGGCGUGCCUAAUACAUGCAAGUCGAGCGAACAGACGAGGAGCUUGCUCCUCUGACGUUAGCGGCGGACGGGUGAGUAACACGUGGAUAACCUACCUAUAAGACUGGGAUAACUUCGGGAAACCGGAGCUAAUACCGGAUAAUAUAUUGAACCGCAUGGUUCAAUAGUGAAAGACGGUUUUGCUGUCACUUAUAGGUGGAUCCGCGCCGCAUUAGCUAGUUGGUAAGGUAACGGCUUACCAAGGCAACGAUGCGUAGCCGACCUGAGAGGGUGAUCGGCCACACUGGAGCUUGGACACGCUCCAGACUCCUACGGGAGGCAGCAGUAGGGAAUCUUCCGCAAUGGGCGAAAGCCUGACGGAGCAGCGCCGCGUGAGUGAUGAAGGUCUUCGGAUCGUAAAACUCUGUUAUUAGGGAAGAACAAAUGUGUAAGUAACUAUGCACGUCUUGACGGUACCUAAUCAGAAAGCCACGGCUAACUACGUG